GGACAGUCACACUUACCAAACAGUAUAACCAAUCUGGAAAGGCCAACUUGUACAAUUACAUUGUGUUGAAAGCUCAAAGAACGUAAGCUCUAAUAAGGCUUUUAUUUUGCAAGUGCUUGAGACAGUGAGUUAUGUCAUCUCCCCCAUCCAUGGGGGAAGUGACUAGGCUUGUCACAUGGGAACCAGUGAGAUAACAGAUAACAAGCUCACCUUUGAUGUUGGAAGUUCAGAAGACUGUUGGUUCUGUUCUCCAAAAACAGCUUAGGAAAGCAGUGAAAAAAUCCAAGGAAUCACUAGAAUAUGUAAAAACGAUUUCAAAUCCAAACAUCACACUAUAAAACUGUUUUAAUAAAUGCUGAAGUAAAUGGUAUAUAUAAAUACAAAGCUUUCAAGCCCACAGCUCUU
This is a long non-coding RNA of Protopterus annectens (West African lungfish), 405 nucleotides long. RefSeq lists it as uncharacterized. The transcript has 3 exons. The record is from RefSeq and is a predicted model, not a curated record. Lineage: Eukaryota; Metazoa; Chordata; Ceratodontiformes; Protopteridae.